Platichthys flesus (European flounder) is the source of this 1068-nucleotide long non-coding RNA. RefSeq lists it as uncharacterized. NCBI's taxonomy places the organism in Eukaryota, Metazoa, Chordata, Actinopteri, Pleuronectiformes, Pleuronectidae. The record is from RefSeq and is a predicted model, not a curated record. The transcript is spliced from 7 exons.
ACGCUGGAUGAUGUUUGGGAAAGUUCAGUCACUACGAGUCUUUUCUGCGAUGGCAGGAGUCUCGGCUGAGACUUCGACUUGUGUGUUUGACUACAGAAGUCUCCUGUCUUCCCACAGGUGGUCGACUUUCUGUACAACUGAGGUCCCAGCAUGACUUUGUUGAUAAAGUUGACGAUGGCGACAGCUGGCUGCUCGGGGUCCAUCUCUGCAAACAGGUGACAGACGUUUUCUGUGGAACUGCCCGUCCGCCUGGCCACAAAGCCGAACAUCCUGCAGAGAACAAGCAGACGAGUUGGAGAGUAAAGAGAUGUUGGAGAGUAAAAGGCCACGUCCAGUUCAGUCUUGCCAAACCACAGCUGGGCUCCGUGCACGGUGCAGGUGUGAAACUGGACUCUGAAGAGCACCUCCCUCUCUGCUGCUUGACUCCGCCGGUGAUAGCACUUCACCUGCAGAGAAGGAGGCAUGUCAAACUAAGUUGAUGAGGAUUCAGGCUGUAUAAACCUUGCAGUGGAGGACCACUACAUUACUGGGGUCAGAGGUCAGCCAAGUCUCCAUUGCCUUACAGACGGCACAGAUCCUGUCCAAGGGUGGGGCGUGAAGAUCAGGCCAGCCGUAGUCCUGCACCUAUGAAGAAGCAGAGGAAAAUACACAUAGAGGCCACUUCCUGGAGGUUCCUGCGGUAGCGCUGUUCCUCCAGGUCUGGCAGGAAGAAGACGGAGAUGAUCCUCUCUGUGAUGUAGAAGAUUGAGUUGGGAGAGAUUGAUCGAGUUUACUGGAGGACGACUCGACAUGUGGCGUGCAGUUCUUCUUCUCUGCUGGAUGACUGACAGCUGAGCUGCCCUCCUUGGCUGAGUGCUGGCCCGUGCUGACAGGUGUCAGACAACAGGUUAACAAGUCAAAUGCCUGACAAUCACAAUGAUCUAUGACUGAAAAGCCCCCAGGACAACAACAGCAGUCAGGUAGUUAUGUACUGUGGUAAAGAAAAGACAAAUUUUAUACCUUCUUCCAUUCAGAUCUUCUAUUAGAUUAAAUCACUACUUUGUAAACUGUCCCAGCUCUGACACUCAG